RNAcentral lists this ribosomal RNA (294 nucleotides) under Dendrophryniscus jureia. RNAcentral describes it as "partial 16S ribosomal RNA". It matches the Rfam family "Bacterial large subunit ribosomal RNA", at positions 1994 to 2422 of the family's 2925-position model. The record is from RNAcentral. Lineage: Eukaryota; Metazoa; Chordata; Amphibia; Anura; Bufonidae.
GAAUGGCACCACGAAGGUUAUACUGUCUCCUUUCCCCAAUCAGUGAAACUAAUCUCCCCGUGAAGAAGCGGGGAUAGAAAUAUAAGACGAGAAGACCCUAUGGAGCUUUAAACAAUGCAGCAACUGCUACUACUCUGUACAGACCCCAGAGUCUCUAAAUUUCCUUAGCACUUUGACGGCAAGUUUUAGGUUGGGGUGACCGCGGAGAAUAAUAUAACCUCCACGCUGAAAGAACCUUAUUCUUAGCCAAGGGCUACUACCCUAAGCACCAAUAUACUGACAUCUAUUGACCCA